UACGGAGGGUGCGAGCGUUGUUCGGAAUCACUGGGCGUAAAGGGCGUGUAGGCGGUUCGCUAAGUCUGAUGUGAAAGCCCGGGGCUCAACCCCGAACUUGCAGUGGGUACGGGCAGACUAGAGUGUGGUAGGGGAGACUGGAAUUCCUGGUGUAGCGGUGAAAUGCGCAGAUAUCAGGAGGAACACCAACGGCGAAGGCAGCACUCUGGGCCGGUACUGACGCUGAGGAGCGAAAGCGUGGGGAGCAAACAGG
Molecule: ribosomal RNA, 253 nt
Filed under: uncultured bacterium
Lineage: Bacteria
Description: partial 16S ribosomal RNA
Rfam family: Bacterial small subunit ribosomal RNA
Source: RNAcentral